GGGGGAAUAUUGCACAAUGGGCGAAAGCCUGAUGCAGCAACGCCGCGUGAGGGAAGACGGUUUUCGGAUUGUAAACCUCUGUUUUCGGUGACGAACAAAUGACGGUAACCGAGUAGGAAGCCACGGCUAACUACGUGCCAGCAGCCGCGGUAAUACGUAGGUGGCAAGCGUUAUCCGGAAUUACUGGGUGUAAAGGGAGCGCAGGCGGGUCAGCAAGUCAGAUGUGAAAAUUUUGGGCUUAACCCAAAAUUGCAUUUGAAACUGUUGAUCUUGAGUGAAGUAGAGGUAAGCGGAAUUCCUGGUGUAGCGGUGAAAUGCGUAGAGAUCAGGAGGAACAUCGGUGGCGAAGGCGGCUUACUGGGCUUUAACUGACGCUGAGGCUCGAAAGCGUGGGGAGCAAACAGGAUUAGA
This 411-nucleotide ribosomal RNA is filed under the name uncultured Ruminococcus sp. RNAcentral's name for it is "bacterial SSU rRNA". It matches the Rfam family "Bacterial small subunit ribosomal RNA", at positions 355 to 782 of the family's 1533-position model. Lineage: Bacteria; Bacillati; Bacillota; Clostridia; Eubacteriales; Oscillospiraceae. The record is from RNAcentral.